Molecule: RNA transcript, 2749 nt
Organism: Helianthus annuus (common sunflower)
Lineage: Eukaryota; Viridiplantae; Streptophyta; Magnoliopsida; Asterales; Asteraceae
Gene name: structural maintenance of chromosomes protein 4-like
Exons: 10
Source: RefSeq, a predicted model, not a curated record
UUAUGUUAUUGUACAAUAGCUUCAAUAUGGUGGUAGUGAGACACGCAGAGACAAAGAAAGGGAAAGGGUGGAAAGAGAUAGAGAGCAGCAAGAGAGAGAAACAGAGAUGCGGAACGGCGAGUCAUCAACGAUCGGCUCCAGACGCGUGCUCGCCUCCCACCUACAUAACCGAAGUCGUCAAGUCUAGGGUUUUCCGGUGAAAAUUCAAGGGUUCAGAGGUGGUAGUGGCGAGUUCCAACUGAAGUAGUGGUGAACCUUUGCGAACGGAGGCUACAGAGGAAAACGAACAGAGCCUUGUGAGUAGGGAUAGGUUAGGGUUUUCCCAAUAAUCCGAUUGAAGCGUGGUGUUGUGGUUGAUUGAUUAGUUUUACAACUACAGGUGUGUCCACAACUUUGAUAUAAAGUUUCAGGCGGACCACCGGCGGCCUAUCCGACGAAAAGGCAGUUAAGGUCGCACCUCCGAUUGUGUCAGAUUUCCCUUAAAUAUGAUAAACCCAUGUCUUAACAGGCCAUUUUCUGAAGUUUAUAUGCCCAUGACUGAGGUGCAAUAUACAGUGAAUAUUGUUGAUUAGCCUGAGUUAGAAAUGAAAGAGAGGAUACAAGAAAAAGGUGGACGAAUUAAACAACAGUCUUUCGAAGCAUAUGGAACAGAUUAAGAAAGAUUUAGUGGACCCCGAAAAACUUUAAGCCACACUCGCCAAUGAAUCUUUCUCUAACGGUUCCGAUCUCAAAAAGUCGCUACAAAUGGUGGCACUACUCGAAGCACAUAAGAAAGAGAUGAACCCUAAUCUUGAUUCCAUCGCUGAUUACCGGAACAAAGUAAGCAUAUACAAUGAGCGUGUCGAGGAGCUUAAUGUGGUAACCAAUGAACGCGACGAUACGAAAAAACAAUAUGAUGAGUGGAGAAAGAGAAGGCUAGAUGAAUUCAUGGCAGGGUUUAACACCAUAUCUCUGAAGUUGAAGGAAAUGUAUCAGGUUUUAAACCACAGUAGUUGGCUUAAAACUGUGGUUUCAAACCACAGUAGUUUGAGGAAUAAUUGGAAGAAUGAUGUGGAUAAGCUUAACUUUUUACAUAGACUGAAUUUCAAAUUUUGUCCUAUAUCUAUAUAUCUAAUUUCAAGCGGUGUCCUUUAUCUUUAAAAUUGACGAUUUUUGUACUUAUUGUUUUAAAAUUUUGCACAGUAUGUCCUUUGACCCUAACUAAGUUAGUUUUUUCUGUUAAAUUAUAUCACAAAAGUGUAGUUUAGUCUUUUUACUAUUUUUUUUAAACUAACAAAUGAAACAAAAAUAAAGAGUGAAUUUCAAAUUUUGUCCUUUAUCUAUAUACUCAAUUUCAAGCGGUGUCCUUUAUCUUUAAAAUUGACGAGUUUUGUACUUAUUGUUUCAAACUUUUGCACGGUAUGUCCUUUAACCCUAACCAAGUUAAUUUUUUCUGUUAAAUCUGAUCAUGUGCCUUAAGCAUGAGGGUAUUUUUGUCAUUUCACCCUUAAAAGGACUAAUUAUGUAAAUAUCUUUAACAAAAGGUUUAAAUAAAAAUAAAAACAUUUUCUCUCUCAUUCUCACAUCUCUGUCUUUGUAUGUCACUUACCACCACCACCAUAAGCUAUCAACCACCACCACCAUCCACUCCACCCACCCAUCUUUAUCUAUUUUUGUCACGACUUACCACCACCUAUUGUCAUUACUUUACCCAACCCACAAUUAUAGUCCACCAGCAACAAGGGUGGUGGUGGUGAUAAUGGUUGUGUGAUGAUGAUGUGGGAGAGUGGUGGAGAGUGGCGGCUAGAGGUGGUUGUUGGUGGGUUAAUAGUGACUGUGGAGAGAAGGGUAGAGAAAGAUGCUAACAAGGUUUAUAUAUACAUAUUAUAUUAUAUUAGUUUUGUUUGAUUUGAUUUAUUUUUGAGUGAAUUGCAAAUUUUGUCCUUUAUCUUUAUACCUAUUUGCAGGCGCUGUCCUUUAUGUUUAAAUUUGACAAGUUUUGUACUUAAUGUUUCAAAAUCUUGCACGUUAUGUCCUUUGACCCUAACUUAGUUGAUUUAAAUUGUUAAGUGAAGGGCAAAUUGGUCUUUUUACCUAUUUAUUUACCAAAACCAUUUUAAUAAUUUAAAUAACUAAAACAAAAUGAAUUUUUUAUUAUAUCUAUUAUCUAUAUUAAAACAAAACAUUUUAGUGCCACUUGGCAUUAUCUUAAACCUAUUAGUGCCACCUGUCAUCUAAAUAUUCCUCACAAUUCUCAUUUGAGCGGCAACACGUCCAUUCACUUCCUCUGCUUCUCUACCGCCUCUGUAUUUAGGUUGUAACGCUCAUAAAGACUUUUCAAGUUUCCAUAAUUUUUUGAAAUCACCAAAUCCCUUUCUCUCUCUAAAUUUUUUGUGAUGGUGGUUUAUGGUCUCUGGUCCUCGGUGUUAGCAACGACGGCUAGGGUUUUUAAGCGAGAUAUGAACGACGUUUGUUCCAGUUAGGGUUCCGACGAUCGACAACUUGUGGGUUGCUGAGAUGACAGAGAUGGUGGUUGGAGCUAUAUCAGCUAGGGUUUCCGGCAAAGAAGGAAACGCAGCGGUUACUCAGCGAACCAGCUCAGGGGAUAAGCGUGUCGCCUUCCGAAGAUAAUAUGCAUUAUUUUAAUGUUAUGAUCCUUGGUCCAACGCAGUCUCCUUAUGAAGCCGCUUAUUUUAACAAGAAUUCUUGAAAGACAACAAUCUACUGGAUCUUUCGACAAUCAUAACUCCAAAAUCAGAGCACAGGCAAG